CGGAUUGGGAUGUUGGCCGGACACAAUGGUUAUAGCAGCUGUAGCGUCAGGUUAAAUAAACAGAAGACCCUGAUGACCACCAUUAGAUUCGGUGCUGUGCUCUAACUACUCCUGCUGCUCAAGCCUUGCAGGAAAACUGGUUUGUAAAGCCCUUUCUUCCCCAGUCUCCUUUCCUACAGCCUCACACCAAGAUGACCCGACUCUACUUUGAGAAGGUCAGUACCUUCUACACGCAUCCUGGAGUAGACGUUUGCUCUGGGCAUCACAGUUCUUGUCUUGGUACUUGGCGUAGGAAGUGCUCAGUGUGAUUGUAGGUUAGCAAACCUUCAGAUCAGGGCUUUAUUCUUAGUAGACAAGUAUACCCACUGGAUGAGGAAUCUUUGGAGUAAGCACCAUUUUCUUCCUAUCACCUUUUCUUGAAAACUGAUUUCCAGCUUUGAGUAGGAAGAGCCUUGGUGUACGACAUUGUAUAUGAAGCUGCUUGUGAGUUCAGUUCAUCUUUUCUGUGGUUUGAGUUGUGACUCUCCUGUUAUCAAUUAAAUAAAGCUUGCUUUGCCAUAACC
This 563-nucleotide long non-coding RNA is filed under the name Rattus norvegicus (Norway rat). Its description in RNAcentral is "long non-coding RNA NONRATT016699". Lineage: Eukaryota; Metazoa; Chordata; Mammalia; Rodentia; Muridae. The record is from RNAcentral.